GACGUGAGAUAAUUUCUUCUCUCCCAAAGCCAGGAGAAGAACCAUAUUACGUCGGUGGUUUGGCUCACCUAGCAACUGCAUGUAAUCCGGAUUACAAAUUUGCAAUCGCAGAACAUUCCAUCGUAUAUAUCGGCCGUACAAUUGAUAUCUUUAUUCACGAAGUUGGACAUCUAAUCAAUAUUGCUCACGAUUGGGAAGCUAAAAAUUGCUUAGACGAAUUGCUACCUGGAAAAGAAAAUUAUUCUUAUUGCGCUAAGAAAGGCGUAAUAGAAUUUUUAGAUACACACUCGUGUCAAUUUGAUCAUUGUGACAAUGGUGAGAAAUGAGAGUGGAUAUCUCCAUAAAUCGACUACGUUUAUCCAUUGACAAUAAUUGUUUCUAUAUGAAAAUUAAACUACAACUAUAAUAACUCAAUGUCACGUAUAAACGUUCAAAAAGUUC
This is a long non-coding RNA of Centruroides sculpturatus (bark scorpion), 441 nucleotides long. RefSeq lists it as uncharacterized. Lineage: Eukaryota; Metazoa; Arthropoda; Arachnida; Scorpiones; Buthidae. The record is from RefSeq and is a predicted model, not a curated record. The transcript is spliced from 4 exons.